UCAGUAGCAUGACUCUUUAAUCAUUGUUAUUUACAAUUUAUCAUCUGACAGACUUACAGAGAAUAAAUAAAGAAAAGAAAAUAUACAAUUGGUAUCACGUUUCUUUUUCUAAUACAGAGAAAUUUUACAUAUUCUAUUUGGAACGUCUAUGAUAGUUUUAAGCAGAAAUUAAAUCCAUUUGCCCUUUACCCCUUGACAAGACACAUCAUCUUCCAAAGCCUGCAGAAGGGGGCCCAGAUGUUUCCUCAUCACAGGAAGAGUGCACCACAUCGCUGCAGAAACUCAGUCCUCAGAAAAAGUUACCAGGCAACAAGGUAGAAGAAUAGGAUAUCAUGAAUAAUAAAGGACAUAUAAUGGAUAGGCUAGAUUACAGACUCUUGGUGUGUUUGCAGGAAGCCAGCUUUCAAUUGUGUCCAAGCCUGUUUUCAAGAAAACAGUUUUUCACUGAAAGUGAUUACCUUAUCCCAUUGUGCUUCCCUUGAGUCUCUGCAAAUUCUUCCUUGACAUGUUCAUUGUGAUUGUGGAUGAGCACAGGCUAGCUUGGGACUCAGAUUAUUUUCCUGCAAGGCACCUGACACUGUUGCAUGUUGUUGACAAGGUGUCUGCAGGAGAAACUAGAUAGCUUGUUUCAAAUAGGCUGGGUAUGAGGCCAGAGUCUGGUCUCUCCUUUUGAUUCGGUGUCCUGUGGAGAACUACCUUUCAUUGCUGUCUAAAUGCCUCAAAAAAUUAAGCAGUUCUAUAGAUCAAUUUCUCCAUCAAAAAGUAUACAAACAGAGAAUGCACUUCACCAGGAACAAGUCUGAGUAAUUUUUUUCUCUUUCCUCACUUGAAAAUAAACUCUCCAUGUUACAAGCAAAACAAUUCUCCCUACAUUCACUCUAGUUAACUGGAUGAGAAGUUUUUGUUUCUAUCUUAUGUUCAUUCAAAAAAACAACAUUCAGCAAAUAUUUAUCAAGUGCUCACAAUGACCUAGAAACUUAGUAAGACACACAUUGUUAUAAUCUUGACCCCUUAAAUAGGGGACUUAAAAAUGUCAAUCAUAAAACUCAAAACUGUAAUCCACAAAACUGGAGUUUCAACUUCUCCCCAGGUUGCCGCUGUGUUUGCAAUUAAUUUGGUCUAAUGUGGUUGUUAUUCCAUUUAAUAACGGCUAUUUAGGCAAAUAAAACCUCUCUACCACUCUGAAAAUAGUAUUUUAUCAAACAUUAGGAGUCUAUACCAUUGUAUUCUAUUCUCUCCACAAGCUAUUUCCAGUGCCAUUAACUAAGUGCCAACUAACUCUUGACUGAAAUACUGGUUUACUCUAAACUCCUUAUUUUGUCCCCAGUGCUAAUCCUACUCACGUAGAAGCAGCAGGAAGCAUCUAGAAUAUCCUGCUACCUGGUUUUCUAGACAACAAGCUAUGAACAGGUCUUACUGUGUUUUGUGUUGCCUAAUCUUUCUAAGUUUGUCUUGGAUUGUUUCAGAUGCCAAACAGCCAAACAAAUCAGAAAAUUUAGAAGCAGUGUAGGCAGGGUAUUGCUCAUGACAAAGGAACACAUUAAUGUGUUAAUAGUCUCUCUAAAACUGUAGAACUUUAUCCAGAUAGUAUCUUUCCUGUUGUAUCCAAGCAAGGCCAGUUUACAAAUCAGCAAGAAUUAAAAGUAUCCAGCAACUAAAUGAAUAUGUGUGGAAAAACUGGCGAAAUUGAAAAAAGGUCUGUAGUUUAGUUAAUAGCAUUAUGCCAAUGUUAAUUUUCUGGUUCCGAAAAUGGACUAAGUGAAAUGUUAUAAAUGGGGAAAACUGGAUCUAGGGUAAGGCCACUCUACUAUUUUUGUAACAUCUUGUGAGCCUUAAGUUCUUUCAAAAUAACAAGUUUUUUGUUUUUUUUUAAAGGAUACAGCAACUCAACAAUUCCCCACUGCUCUUUGGCACCAAGUAAUGCAGCUAAUUGUCUCAUACCACCAUCCACUUUGUGUUUGAAAACCUCCAUUUUCCUUGCAUUGUUCUUGAGCCUCUAUCUUAACCUCUCCAGUGACAAGAGACUCCUCACCUCUGGUGGCAGCCCAUUUAUCCUUGUAUGUUCUGAGUGCUUCGUUUUCCCCAAUAAGGAAUGGAAAUCAGUCUCCCUGUAACUUCUCCACAUCAGUUCCUAGGACAACUUUUUUGGGGACACUCAGAACAGAUCUAUUCCCUCUUAGACAAGGCCAUUAGGUAUUUAUGCCUGAGAAAUUCAGCCCCAAGCCCAAAGAUCCCACAGAGGCUUCAUCCUUGAAAAUGCUAGAAGAUUUGGACAAGAUGAACUCAAGAGUCUACCAUCAAAACAUCAAGAUAUCAAAACAUCAGACUUUACUGAUUAAAAACUCAGAUUCUCACUAAAACACACACAUGAAAAUAUCUGAACAAGACAAAGAAGAGAACCCUCUUACAAAAUCACAAAUAAAUGGUGGAUAGCAUGUCUGUUAUGUGUCCUCCAUUGACCUCCUUUCCUAUGUCCAUUAUCUAUUCAUGAAUCCUUCCAUCCAUGAGGUACUUUUUUUUUGUAAAUGACAAUCCCCCUUCAUACACUCUUGCAGCAGACAUUCUUUCCUAUCUACAUCCCCAGUUGUUUCAUAUAUGAACUUCAAUCCUGACCCCUGCCCAUGAAUGAACAGAACACCCAUUUCAAGAAAUUGGGGGUUUUCAAGAAUAUAUCAUUCACUUUGACAGGAGAGAGAAAUACAAACAGUGAGACAUGUCCAGAGGCCAAAUUAGAAAACCACCUGUGAUUAGUUGCUGAAUUCUGAGUCCUCAGAUUCUCCACAUCUAUCAAGUGUUUUCCCUAAACUUAAUCUCAUGUUUCCCAAGACAUUAGUAUUCUUCAAGUUUUUCUUUCUGAAGAUUCUUUUAGAAUGACAUGGAAAAAUAUUGUAGAAUCUGCACAUUUAUAAGCACAAGUAUAGUUAACCUUUAUAAAUUAUCUGAAUUUUCUAGCCUUUGUUAUCCAACACUUUGGUAUAUCAAAGAUUUUCUUUUACUAGAUUGUAUCUGCCCUAGGCUUUUUUUUUUCCUUUUUUAGUUCUUUAAUGUAAAAAAAAAAAAAAGUGUAUAUGAGUCAGGGGUAGGGAGUGGGGGUGACCA
Molecule: long non-coding RNA, 3099 nt
Filed under: Homo sapiens (human)
Lineage: Eukaryota; Metazoa; Chordata; Mammalia; Primates; Hominidae
Description: HSALNT0016629
Source: RNAcentral